GGCGGACGGGUGAGUAACGCGUGGGUAACCUGCCUUGUACAGGGGGAUAACAGUUGGAAACGGCUGCUAAUACCGCAUAAGCGCACAGCAUCGCAUGAUGCAGUGUGAAAAACUCCGGUGGUAUAAGAUGGACCCGCGUUGGAUUAGCUAGUUGGUGAGGUAACGGCCCACCAAGGCGACGAUCCAUAGCCGACCUGAGAGGGUGACCGGCCACAUUGGGACUGAGACACGGCCCAAACUCCUACGGGAGGCAGCAGUGGGGAAUAUUGCACAAUGGGCGAAAGCCUGAUGCAGCGACGCCGCGUGAGCGAAGAAGUAUUUCGGUAUGUAAAGCUCUAUCAGCAGGGAAGAUAAUGACGGUACCUGACUAAGAAGCACCGGCUAAAUACGUGCCAGCAGCCGCGGUAAUACGUAUGGUGCAAGCGUUAUCCGGAUUUACUGGGUGUAAAGGGAGCGCAGGCGGUGCGGCAAGUCUGAUGUGAAAGCCCGGGGCUCAACCCCGGUACUGCAUUGGAAACUGUCGUACUAGAGUGUC
Molecule: ribosomal RNA, 535 nt
Filed under: uncultured bacterium
Lineage: Bacteria
Description: bacterial SSU rRNA
Rfam family: Bacterial small subunit ribosomal RNA
Source: RNAcentral